Brienomyrus brachyistius is the source of this 430-nucleotide long non-coding RNA. RefSeq lists it as uncharacterized. The record is from RefSeq and is a predicted model, not a curated record. The transcript is spliced from 3 exons. NCBI's taxonomy places the organism in Eukaryota, Metazoa, Chordata, Actinopteri, Osteoglossiformes, Mormyridae.
CCACGUCGGGAUACACGCGACCUCACACGUGACUCGAAGGCUGCCGUUGCAGUUAGUUCUACUGAAAUAAGGCUUCUCCUUUUUGACUGACUCGUCAUUCGUUUUGGGCACAUAAAAUGCCUGAGAUUUACGGGAUUCCUCUUUGAUUCAUGCUGACAUUUGCUUUCUACAGUCAGAAUAUUUUCUGUAUUUAUAUUUGCGUUGCUUAGACGCCUCUCUUUGCGUCUUGUGCCCGGCAAAAUACAGUCACCCUAACUAAAAUAUUAAUACCCAAUUAAUGAGGAAAAUCUCAACUCCCAUUGCCUGCCUUGCAUGUCCUGCCCCUACGCUUCUGCAAAAAAAGAGGCUACCAGACCCCCCCUUCGAAGAACGCAAAAUUUCCACCGGCAACCUCUCAAGUCCCUGCUCCCCCCACAGACCAUCAUGGGAC